GUCUAUGGCCAUACCACCCUGAAUGCACCCCAUCUUGCCUGAUCUCAGAAGCUAAGCAGAGUUGAACCUGGCUACUUGGAGA
This 82-nucleotide ribosomal RNA is filed under the name Cebus imitator (Panamanian white-faced capuchin). Lineage: Eukaryota; Metazoa; Chordata; Mammalia; Primates; Cebidae. The record is from RNAcentral.